Methanobrevibacter sp. 87.7 is the source of this 74-nucleotide non-coding RNA. Lineage: Archaea; Methanobacteriati; Methanobacteriota; Methanobacteria; Methanobacteriales; Methanobacteriaceae. The record is from Rfam.
GGGCCAGUAGCCUAGUAGGAUAGGGCGUCGGACUUCUAAUCCGAAGAUCCCGGGUUCAAAUCCCGGCUGGUCCG